This 482-nucleotide ribosomal RNA is filed under the name uncultured bacterium. RNAcentral describes it as "bacterial SSU rRNA". It matches the Rfam family "Bacterial small subunit ribosomal RNA", at positions 29 to 506 of the family's 1533-position model. The record is from RNAcentral.
UUGAACGCUGGCGGCAUGCCUUACACAUGCAAGUCGAGCGGCAGCGCGGGGGCAACCCUGGCGGCGAGCGGCGAACGGGUGAGUAAUACAUCGGAACGUGUCCAGUAGCGGGGGAUAACCUGUCGAAAGAUAGGCUAAUACCGCAUACGACCUACGGGUGAAAGCGGGGGACCGCAAGGCCUCGCACUAUUGGAGCGGCCGAUGUCGGAUUAGCUAGUUGGCGGGGUAAUGGCCCACCAAGGCGACGAUCCGUAGCUGGUCUGAGAGGACGACCAGCCACACUGGAACUGAGACACGGUCCAGACUCCUACGGGAGGCAGCAGUGGGGAAUUUUGGACAAUGGGCGCAAGCCUGAUCCAGCCAUGCCGCGUGAGUGAAGAAGGCCUUCGGGUUGUAAAGCUCUUUCGGCGGGGACGAAACGGUUCGUGACAACACCACGGACUAAUGACGGUACUCGCAGAAGAAGCACCGGCUAACUACGU